This 403-nucleotide ribosomal RNA is filed under the name uncultured bacterium. Its description in RNAcentral is "bacterial SSU rRNA". It matches the Rfam family "Bacterial small subunit ribosomal RNA", at positions 356 to 757 of the family's 1533-position model. The record is from RNAcentral.
AAGGAAUAUUGGUCAAUGGACGCAAGUCUGAACCAGCCAUGCCGCGUGAAGGAUGAAGGUCCUCUGGAUUGUAAACUUCUUUUAUCUGGGACGAAAACGGGAUUUUUAUCUCAAUUGACGGUACCAGAGGAAUAAGCACCGGCUAACUCCGUGCCAGCAGCCGCGGUAAUACGGAGGGUGCGAGCGUUAUCCGGAUUUACUGGGUUUAAAGGGUGCGUAGGUGGGCUUAUAAGUCAGUGGUGAAAUCUCCGAGCUUAACUUGGAAACUGCCGUUGAUACUAUAGGUCUUGAAUUAUCUGGAGGUAAGCGGAAUAUGUCAUGUAGCGGUGAAAUGCUUAGAUAUGACAUAGAACACCAAUUGCGAAGGCAGCUUACUACAUAUAAAUUGACGCUGAGGCACGAA